AGGGCAAGAAACUUGCUGUUGGACAGGUUUAAGUCCUGAAGAGUCCCUAAGGUUACUCCCACCAUCUCCAACAGUACACCUGAAUGGAGACAAACUCCUGUUCCACCCUAGCCCACAUGCUGUUUGUCCCAAGCUGCACUCAGCACUCAGGACUAUCUUCGUAAGCCUGAGAAGGCAAGGAAAAUGAGAACAUGUUACCAGUGUUCAACCUAGGCUGAGCCCUAGCAACCAGGGGCCAUCAUCCCAGCUUCAGAGGUUACAGAAUGGCAGUUCAGAGUUAAAUAACUUGCCCAAGGUUAUCCAAGAUGUAGACAGUAGAUGAGAUGUAAGCUGUGGUCCAACUCAAAAAGUCCCAAUACAGAGCACUACUCCCCCAACUUCAAGCUCAGCUUCCAAAAGCAGUUUCCCACAGAAUCCCCUGCCCAAUAUAUCCUACAACAAGCACGUGCAGGGUUCCCAGCGGGAGGGUGGACCAAGGAUAUAUGCUCUGAUGACCAUUUCCAAUUUCUACAUAUCUCAACUCAUGAUGGGAAAUGUAAUGAGAACAAGCCACUGAAUCAGUCUCUGGAUUUGGCGAGCUAACCCAAGGACCUGGAGCUUGCACCUCUCACCUCCCCUCAGGAAGUUCAGGAAGAAAUGACAACACAAGUUCUCAAUGACAUAGAAACGGACAACCUGCAGAAUCAAAAAUGAAAAACAAGCCCCCAAGACUGUGACCCCCACUACCACCCUCAGGCUGUGGACCUUGAGAAAAAGCCCCUGGAAGGCUGAGACCAAGUAUGACAAGGGUCCUACUCUGUACCUGAGCCCCAAGGUAAGGAAUCUGAGUCAGAGGCAGGCAGCCCAUCUACUCAGUAUCAUGCCUAGAGGCCAUUCCCAGUCUAGCAAGCCCUUCAUAUAGCCACGAAACACCCUGCCCCCCUUCCUAGCCUAUCCACCUUGGGCAGCCUAGGUGAGAAGUUCAUCAUCUCCCAGGAUGAGAAGGACUUAGUCAUGGGGCUGAAAACCACAGUCCUCUUCUACUCCUCCAAUACUGAAUGCAGCUGCCAAAUUGUACUUGUUUUCCUGGCUAAGUAUCCUACUUCCCACUCUCACAUUCAGUGGAAGGUUAGCUACCCCAAACUACCCAUGCACGUACCAGGGCUACAUCAGCUUCUUAAGACAGAACUUUGGCACAAAGCUUCCUUCCAUGUUCCUUGCCCUCCCAUCACGAAGUUCCCUUACAAAAACUGGGUACCCACCCCUCUUAGCACUUGCCCACAUACUCUCUAAGGUCCUGUUCAGAUGCUCGCCCCUCUAUGAGUUCCUCCCAGACUGCCAACCACAUGUGGUCUCUUCUUGGGGUUUCUGGGGCACACACUUCACAGCUAUGCACUUGUCUGACCCUAUGCUCCCUUGGGCCCUUAAUCUAGUCAUUAAUCUCCUGUGGUGGUAAGGGAUGCAG
This is a long non-coding RNA of Tupaia belangeri chinensis (Chinese tree shrew), 1444 nucleotides long. RefSeq lists it as uncharacterized. The record is from RefSeq and is a predicted model, not a curated record. The transcript is spliced from 2 exons. Lineage: Eukaryota; Metazoa; Chordata; Mammalia; Scandentia; Tupaiidae.